This 292-nucleotide ribosomal RNA is filed under the name uncultured Planctomycetota bacterium. RNAcentral describes it as "uncultured planctomycete partial 16S ribosomal RNA". The record is from RNAcentral. Lineage: Bacteria; Pseudomonadati; Planctomycetota.
GGACUACCGGGGUAUCUAAUCCCGUUUGCUCCCCUGGCUUUCGCGCCUCAGCGUCAGGAGAGGUCCAGUGAUGCGCUUUCGCCACCGGCGUUCCUUCCGAUAUCAACGCAUUUCACCGCUCCACCGGAAGUUCCCAUCACCCCUACCUCGCUCGAGUUCAGCAGUUUCCAAGGCACUUCUCCAGUUAAGCUGGAGUAUUUCACCCCGGACUUGCCAAACCGCCUACGCGCCCUUUAAGCCCAGUGAUUCCGAACAACGUUCGCACGGUUCGUCUUACCGCGGCUGCUGGCAC